This 72-nucleotide transfer RNA is filed under the name Hofstenia miamia. RNAcentral's name for it is "tRNA-Undet for anticodon ???". It matches the Rfam family "tRNA". Rfam says of the family: Transfer RNA (tRNA) molecules are approximately 80 nucleotides in length. Their secondary structure includes four short double-helical elements and three loops (D, anti-codon, and T loops). The record is from RNAcentral. Lineage: Eukaryota; Metazoa; Xenacoelomorpha; Acoela; Hofsteniidae.
UGGACAGUGGUGUAAAGGAUAACACACUCAAUGUAAUUUGAGAGACUGCUGGUUCAAAUCCAGUCUGUCCAA